This 329-nucleotide ribosomal RNA is filed under the name uncultured eukaryote. RNAcentral's name for it is "partial 18S ribosomal RNA". It matches the Rfam family "Eukaryotic small subunit ribosomal RNA", at positions 1470 to 1796 of the family's 1831-position model. The record is from RNAcentral.
CCCCUAGAUGUUCUGGGCCGCACGCGCGCUACACUGAACAGUUCAACAAGUCUUAACCUUGGCCGAUAGGUCUGGGUAAUCUUUGAACGCUGUUCGUGAUUGGGAUAGACCUUUGCAAUUAUGGGUCUUCAACGAGGAAUUCCUAGUAAGCGCGAGUCAUCAGCUCGCGUUGAUUACGUCCCUGCCCUUUGUACACACCGCCCGUCGCUCCUACCGAUUGAAUGGUCCGGUGAAAUGUUCGGACCGCGACAAGGCGGACGGUUCGCUGUCAGCUUUGCUGCGGGAAGUUCAUUAAACCUUAUCAUUUAGAGGAAGGAGAAGUCGUAACA